UACGGAGGGUGCAAGCGUUGUCCGGAAUCACUGGGCGUAAAGGGCGCGUAGGCGGGCUGUCAAGUCUGGGGUGAAAUCCCGCGGCUCAACCGUGGAACUGCCUCAGAUACUGACGGUCUCGAGGGGGAUAGGGGCGAGCGGAACUGUGAGUGGAGCGGUGAAAUGCGUUGAUAUUCACAGGAACUCCGGUGGCGAAGGCGGCUCGCUGGAUCUCUUCUGACGCUGAGGCGCGAAAGCUAGGGGAGCAAACGGG
RNAcentral lists this ribosomal RNA (253 nucleotides) under uncultured bacterium. Its description in RNAcentral is "partial 16S ribosomal RNA". It matches the Rfam family "Bacterial small subunit ribosomal RNA", at positions 524 to 776 of the family's 1533-position model. The record is from RNAcentral.